UACGGAGGGUGCGAGCGUUGUCCGGAAUCACUGGGCGUAAAGGGCGCGUAGGUGGCGCGAGGAGUCAACGGUGAAAGCUCGGCGCUCAACGCCGAGUCGGCCGUCGAUACUCUCGUGCUUGAGCACUGUAGAGGCAGAUGGAAUUCCGGGUGUAGCGGUGGAAUGCGUAGAGAUCCGGAAGAACACCGGUGGCGAAGGCGGUCUGCUGGGCAGUUGCUGACACUGAGGCGCGACAGCGUGGGGAGCAAGCAGG
This 253-nucleotide ribosomal RNA is filed under the name uncultured bacterium. Its description in RNAcentral is "partial 16S ribosomal RNA". It matches the Rfam family "Bacterial small subunit ribosomal RNA", at positions 524 to 776 of the family's 1533-position model. The record is from RNAcentral.